Molecule: ribosomal RNA, 490 nt
Filed under: uncultured bacterium
Lineage: Bacteria
Description: partial 16S ribosomal RNA
Rfam family: Bacterial small subunit ribosomal RNA
Source: RNAcentral
AUUGAACGCUGGCGGCAGGCCUAACACAUGCAAGUCGAACGGUAACAGGAAGAAGCUUGCUUCUUUGCUGACGAGUGGCGGACGGGUGAGUAAUGUCUGGGAAACUGCCUGAUGGAGGGGGAUAACUACUGGAAACGGUAGCUAAUACCGCAUAACGUCGCAAGACCAAAGCGGGGGACCUUCGGGCCUCUUGCCAUCGGAUGUGCCCAGAUGGGAUUAGCUAGUAGGUGGGGUAACGGCUCACCUAGGCGACGAUCCCUAGCUGGUCUGAGAGGAUGACCAGCCACACUGGAACUGCGACACGGUCCAGACUCCUACGGGAGGCAGCAGUGGGGAAUAUUGCACAAUGGGCGCAAGCCUGAUGCAGCCAUGCCGCGUGUAUGAAGAAGGCCCUCGGGUUGUAAAGUACUUUCAGCGGGGAGGAAGGGAGUAAAGUUAAUACCUUUGCUCAUUGACGUUACCCGCAGAAGAAGCACCGGCUAACUCCGUG